Molecule: long non-coding RNA, 908 nt
Filed under: Marmota monax (woodchuck)
Lineage: Eukaryota; Metazoa; Chordata; Mammalia; Rodentia; Sciuridae
Source: RNAcentral
GGGAUGUGUGCUGGACAGCACUUGUUCCUGCCGUAUGCCUGCAGCCCUCAGGGGUGACUUUGGUGACCCACCCCCAUGGAAAGAGCUGGGACUGAACCAGCAACAAGAACCCCCCGCCUGGCCAGGCGCGCUCCUCAAAUCCCAGCGGCUCCGGAAGCUGAGGCAGGAGGGUCGUGAGUUCAAAGCCAACCUCAGCAAAAGCUAGGUGCUAAGAAACUCUUCGAGACCCUGUCUCUAAGUACAAUAUUUAAAAAGGCUGGGGUGUGGCUUGGUGGUUAAGCACCCCGGAUUUAAUUCCUGGUACCAAAAAAAAACACAAACAAACAAAAAACCUGCUUGGGGUCCAGAGGCACAAUAAUUGUGGUUGGGGUCAAGACCUAUCAGAUCUCAUUCCACGACUUCCCCGGAGAAAGAACUGAACUCGCCAUGGAGAUGCAGGACCACCGUGAGCAGGAGGUCAGGGUGGGGCAGACUGGGGUGGCCAACCAUACCCCAUCACCAGCACUUCUCAGAGUGUGGUCUUCUUGGACCUGGCUAUAGAAAACAGAGUCACAUCCUGGGAAAACUCCUUCUUCUCUUUUCAUUUCUUGUUAAGAUCCCAUUUAAGACUGGGGGUGUAGCUCCGUGGUACAGUGCUUGCCUAGCAUGUGCGAGGCCCUGGGUUCCAUCCCCAGCGCUGCAAAAAUGUAAGGAAGAAGGCGAAGGAAAAGGAAAAGAAGAAGAAGAAAGAAGCCCUGCUUGGUGACACACACCUGUAAUCUCAGUGACUCUGGAGGCUGAGGCAGGAGGAUAGAAAGUUCGAGGCCAGUCUCGGCAACUCUCAAAAUAAAAAAGGCUAGGGAUAUAACUCCAUCACAGAGUACUCGCCUAGUAUGUGUGAGGCCCUGGAUUCCAUCUCCAGUACAAAA